RNAcentral lists this ribosomal RNA (28 nucleotides) under Scheffersomyces segobiensis. RNAcentral's name for it is "partial 26S rRNA". The record is from RNAcentral. RNAcentral also lists the same sequence under 14 other names. Lineage: Eukaryota; Fungi; Ascomycota; Pichiomycetes; Serinales; Debaryomycetaceae.
UGAGAUUAAGCUUCAGUUGUCCGAUUUG